CGGCGUGCUAACACAUGCAAGUCGAACGGGGACGAGACGGAAACCUAGUGAAGUCGUGUCCGAGUGGCGGACGGGGUGGAGUAACGACGUCGGAGUAACCUGCCGCGAUGGCAGGGGGAUACCGGGACUGGAAACAGCCGCUAAUACCGCAUAAGCGCACGGUGCCGCAUGGCAGAGUGCGAAAAGGAGAAAUCCGGCAAGCGAUGGAUCCGCGUCCGAUUAGCCAGUUGCGGGGUAAGGGCCCGCCAAAGCGACGAUCGGUAGCCGGCCUGAGAGGGCGGACGGCCACAUUGGGACUGAGACACGGCCCAGACUCCUACGGGAGGCAGCAGUGGGGGAUAUUGCACAAUGGGGGAAACCCUGAUGCAGCGACGCCGCGUGGGUGAAGAAGUAUUUCGGUAUGUAAAGCCCUAUCAGCAGGGAAGAAAGAAGGCGGUACCUGACUAAGAAGCCCCGGCUAACUACGUG
Molecule: ribosomal RNA, 468 nt
Filed under: uncultured Lachnospiraceae bacterium
Lineage: Bacteria; Bacillati; Bacillota; Clostridia; Lachnospirales; Lachnospiraceae
Description: bacterial SSU rRNA
Rfam family: Bacterial small subunit ribosomal RNA
Source: RNAcentral